AAAGCUCCACCUUUUGGUUUAACCCUGGAAUUGCGUCUUUGGUACUAAAAAUGGGGGCAGCCUCAUUAACAUUUUUAACACCUUCCCCAGACAGACAGGAGGGGGGCUGCUGACAUUCGGGUCAUGAGGGUGUGAUAAGUAUGUGAUCAUCGCUGGAAAGGGCACUGACAGUCGACUAAAAUCAGCGAAAAUGAACCGCUCCAUUUGUAUAAUGAUAACAUCAACAGGAAAGCCUUUAAACUAUGGUAAUUUAUUUAAAAAAAUGUUAAAAGCAGUACAAAGACCAGCAAAAAUAGUCAUUUGCUAAUGCACUGGUCAUACUAAUGCUAAAGACAGAGUGUUAAAAGUAAGUGCUAAAACAGAUGAAGAAGCCGAAGGAGCUGCACUCUCCUACAACAAAUGCAAGACAGCACUCCCAAAAGUGAAAAAGAUAAAUGGAGCCUUAAAGGAGCAACUGUUAAUCCACAGGGUUCUUAUGUUUGACAGGAGGGGAAACCUAUUCUACCAGAAUCCCUCUAUAAAUGGGCAUGAUAAACCAUGGGCCAUACCAUGUCUCAACAGGGGGGGUGGUAAGAAUAUAAACAAAUACUAUACUACGUAUGAAUUUACAAAUGAUUCUAAAAAUUUUGUUCUCGAUACAUAACCCUCAAGGAAAUAUUUGACAAACGAGAGGAACAUUACCUAAAGCAAAAUAUCUGUUCGAAUAUUUUCAAAUGGAUUUCUGCGAAUUAAUUAGGUGUCAGGGUAAAAAGUAUUGUUUGACAAUUAUUGAUGCUUUUUCUAAAUGCGUAGAAGUGUUCCCCACAAACACUAAUGAUUCACUAGCUGUAGUAAAAAUUCUAGUACGAGACUUAAUACCCCGAUUUGGGAUAUGGGAAAGAAUUUAUAGUGAUAACAGUCCACACAGAUCUUUCCUCCCUGCUGCUAUCACACCAUAUAAGCAGAACUGUUAACUACCUCUGGCUACAUUAACUCACCCCCUGCAUCAGUGGUUUAUGUAAUAAUCUUCUUAUAAUCUCUAUUUGUGCAGACUCUGUGCAAUACUUAUAUAUUUAUACAAUAUGCAGUAACUCGUCUGCACAAUAUUUGUGCCAAUCAGUGCAAUAUUUAUAAACCUUCCAAUGCCUUCAAUAUGUAAAAGGUGUUAAAUAAUCACCAGAAAUGUUUUUCUGAAAAUGCUUCUCAAUAUGUACCUUGCCUACUGAUUACCUUAACCAGGUGUGUUUAGUCAAUGACAAGCUGGAAAAGCACACUGAGACAACGGAUCAAGGUAAUCAGCAGAGAGAUCUGGAAAACCAGCAGGGACUACGCGCCAGAAAGUGUCACUAUCCGUGUUUCCAUGGUUUUGGGGAAGGAAACAUCAUGCUAAGAGUUGAAACCAUAAAUUACCGUAUGACCCUGUUUUUUAAUGUCACAGUAAAAACCCUUGCCAGUAUAUAUCGUUGUUUCACCGCCCUAACACUCCGUGACAUACUGGUGUUAGUUCUGCUGACUGCAAGCCAAGGUGGAGUGUGAGCUAUAGUUGGCCCCAAAUGCUGCACAUACAUUCUAGGAGAAGACCAAGAUGCAAAGGUCACCCAACAGGCAAUCCGUGACCUACAGCGCAUAUCCAAUGUGCAGGUGAAAGUGAAAGAUAAAUCCUGGUUUGGCACCUGGACUGACAUCCUGAUAAAGAUCUUUGGACCGGUUCUUGUGAUCCUCUGGGUUCUGUUGCUCUAUACGUAAUUCCCUGUUUGAGGGUCAUGAUCAUCAGGCUGGUUAAUCGAGGCCUUCUCAGGGUGUGCCCAGUCAUGCACUCUCUACAAUUACGCUACACACCUUUGAAGCUUGAUAAUGGAACCUCGGCGCUGUUGACGGAAAUACACUGUAAGCUGAAAAUAUUGUACUUCUGUGCUUUUGACUCUGCCUAAGAUAUUGCAACAUUUAUUCCAUGUUUUAUGACAACUGUAUUUAAAAUCAAAAUGUGCUGUUCUGAUGUAUAUAUGAUUGUUUAAUGAAUGUUUCAUUGUUAAACAGAAAAACACUGCAUUUAAUCAUUGAAACAUAUUUUGCUGAAUUGCUGUAACCCCGUUAGCUGUGCUAUAUAUUAUGAGCUGAAUUCUUGUCUUUUCUAAAGUGAGCGGAAGAUGCCUAGCUGCUUACUGCUCACUCCUUGCAAGUAAAAUCUCAAAUGAUUUUGCCUCCUUUAUUUAAGAUUUACAAAGGGAACUCACAAUUUCCCUAACACUAUAGAUCUGUGAGACUGGAGAUAACAUAAACAGAAACAUGUCACUUUAUGGACAGUUAAAGGGCUCAUAUCAUGCAAAAUCCACUUUUUAGACAUUUUGGAGCGUUCCUAUGACUCUAUGGGUCACAUAUACACAUACUGAGCACGGUAGAAAUGCAUUUCCUGCUUUUUUCACAUUUUGAAAACGUAAAUUUUCUCACCCAAUGAAAACAGACCACGACCUACUCUGAGGCCGUGUCCCAGUUGUCGUCACCUUGGUCGGAAGUUCUCCCUGCAAAUCCUGAACCACCACCCCCACAAUGAUCCCGAACCAAAACUGGACUUCCGCCAUUUCCCCCCUCUCACUCACCGUGAACAGACCAGCACGGCAGCGCCCAAGUCCUCCCAUAGAAAUAGUUCGGUUCUUGGGUGUUCUAACCAACACCAAAGUCUAUUCACUUUAACAAGGGAUCAACAAGUGAGGAUUUGUGGGUCACUUUUAUUUUUAACGGACCGGUGCCAGAAACACUGCCUCAGCAUUUAUACUUAUGUGCAUUUCAAACGAGGGUGCGUACAAUGCUGGAUUUGUUUCACGGCUCCUGUUGGAAAAAAAGGAUCUAUUCCUAAAGUCUGUCAUCCACUCACUGAAGAGGGCAAAUCCCAGUUACCUACAUGCAAGGAGGCUGUCAAACAGAGAAAUCACUGCAGACUGUUGGUACACAGGCAUCUGCUGCCCAGCUCAGGAGUGAAGUACCUUUUUGUUUUGAUGAGGUGAUGGUGAGGACAGCCACAGCUUCCAUCUGGUAGAGGACUGCUUCCGCUCAGUCUUCCAAAUAGUGAUGAGAACAAGGAUCACCACAUCUCCCUGUUUACCCUACUUUCAUGCAUUUCGUCUGCAGGGCCCUGCAAAAGCUUCUGACCUCAAACCCCCAGACCUCUUAAUUAACUCAGUAACCUAUACAUUGCACAUUGGAGUGUGAAGGUAACAGUUUGUUCUAGCUUUGGAGUAGUGGUGCAUUUUUUUUGGUUUACAAUAAAGUUGGCUUUAACUAUUA
Betta splendens (Siamese fighting fish) is the source of this 3261-nucleotide long non-coding RNA. RefSeq lists it as uncharacterized. The record is from RefSeq and is a predicted model, not a curated record. NCBI's taxonomy places the organism in Eukaryota, Metazoa, Chordata, Actinopteri, Anabantiformes, Osphronemidae. The transcript has 3 exons.